CAAGUCGAGCGGAUCUCAAGGAGCUUGCUCCUUGAGAUUAGCGGCGGACGGGUGAGUAACACGUGGGCAACCUGCCUGUAAGACUGGGAUAACACCGGGAAACCGGUGCUAAUACCGGAUAAUUCUUUCCCUCACAUGAGGGAAAGCUGAAAGUCGGUUUCGGCUGACACUUACAGAUGGGCCCGCGGCGCAUUAGCUAGUUGGUGAGGUAACGGCUCACCAAGGCGACGAUGCGUAGCCGACCUGAGAGGGUGAUCGGCCACACUGGGACUGAGACACGGCCCAGACUCCUACGGGAGGCAGCAGUAGGGAAUCUUCCGCAAUGGACGAAAGUCUGACGGAGCAACGCCGCGUGAGUGAUGAAGGCCUUCGGGUCGUAAAACUCUGUUGUUAGGGAAGAACAAGUACCGGAGUAACUGCCGGUACCUUGACGGUACCUAACCAGAAAGCCACGGCUAACUACGUGCCAGCGGCCGCGGUAAUACGUAGGUGGCAAGCGUUGUCCGGAAUUAUUGGGCGUAAAGCGCGCGCAGGCGGUCCUUUAAGUCUGAUGUGAAAGCCCACGGCUCAACCGUGGAGGGUCAUUGGAAACUGGGGGACUUGAGUGCAGAAGAGGAAAGCGGAAUUCCACGUGUAGCGGUGAAAUGCGUAGAGAUGUGGAGGAACACCAGUGGCGAAGGCGGCUUUCUGGUCUGUAACUGACGCUGAGGCGCGAAAGCGUGGGGAGCAAACAGGAUUAGAUACCCUGGUAGUCCACGCCGUAAACGAUGAGUGCUAAGUGUUAGAGGGUUUCCGCCCUUUAGUGCUGCAGCUAACGCAUUAAGCACUCCGCCUGGGGAGUACGGCCGCAAGGCUGAAACUCAAAGGAAUUGACGGGGGCCCGCACAAGCGGUGGA
Molecule: ribosomal RNA, 896 nt
Filed under: uncultured Bacillus sp.
Lineage: Bacteria; Bacillati; Bacillota; Bacilli; Caryophanales; Bacillaceae
Description: bacterial SSU rRNA
Rfam family: Bacterial small subunit ribosomal RNA
Source: RNAcentral